Ribosomal RNA from Pteropus vampyrus (large flying fox), 124 nucleotides. Lineage: Eukaryota; Metazoa; Chordata; Mammalia; Chiroptera; Pteropodidae. The record is from Ensembl.
GCCUAUAGUCUGGCUAUACCACCCUGAACGCUCCCGAUCUCGUCUGAUUUCGGAAGUUAAGCAGGGUCAAGCCUGGCUAAAACUUGGAUGGGAUUCUGCCUGGGAAUACUGGGUACUGUAGGCU